Dama dama (fallow deer) is the source of this 1578-nucleotide long non-coding RNA. RefSeq lists it as uncharacterized. Lineage: Eukaryota; Metazoa; Chordata; Mammalia; Artiodactyla; Cervidae. The record is from RefSeq and is a predicted model, not a curated record. The transcript is spliced from 2 exons.
GCCCGCUAGUGAGCAGAUGGAUCCAGUCCUGGCACUAAUAGGAUUUGGAAGUUUCCAAAAUGGUAUUUACCAACAUUAGUGUCCUCAUGGCUGCAUGAAUUCCCCAAAAUAGCUGCUGUCAGUGUCUUGUCUUCAGGGUGUGCUCCAGUUGCCUCCUGCCUCUCUGAGAGGCUCUCCAAGAUCAGCAGGAGAUUACAUCUAUAUAGUGUCAUCCUGACUAAAGCAGAGACUUUACUUUGCCAACAAAGGUCUGUCUAGUCGAAGCUAUGGUUUUUCCAGUAGUCAUGUAGAGAUGUGAGAGUUGGACUCUAAAGAAAGCUGAGCACUGAAGAAUUGAUGCUUUUGAACUGUGGUGUUGGAGAAGACUCACGAGAGUCCCUUGGACUGCAAGGAGAUCCAACCAGUCAAUCCUAAAGGAAAUCAGUCCUGAAUAUUCAUUGGAAGGACUGAUGCUGAAGCUGAAACUCCAAUACUUUGGCCACCUGAUGCGAAGAGCUGACUCAUUGGAAAAGACCCUGAUGCUGGGAAAGAUUGAAGGCAGGAGGAGAAGGGGACAACAGAGGAUGAGAUGUUUGGAUGGCAUCACCAACUCAAUGGACAUGAAUUUGAGUAAACUCUGGGUGUUGGUGAUAGACAGGGAGGCCUGGCAUGCUGCAGUCCGUGGGGUUGCAGAGAGCCAGACACGACUGAGCAACUGAACUGAUUGACUGACUAAUAUUUAGGAUUCCUGAAGAGCAGCUAUUCAUUUAUUCUAGAGAUAGCAUUUGAAUUCAAAUCUACCACUGGGUCACUACCAGAAAAAAAAAAAAAAACUUGCAAAAUAUAACCAUGGCUUACAUAUUGUCUUCUUUACAAUGAGGAAUAAUGGGACAGCUGAAAAUUGUCUCAGCCUCAUGACAAAGUUGGGAGAAUUACUUUAUGGUUUAUAAUUAUACUAGCUAGAAUAGACAUGUGAAUUGUCCCUGAAAUAUUCUAGUUUUUGCAGAGCUUUUGCUUGCAUUUUUAAACACAUUUCCAUUUUGGUUGAAUAGUUAAGUGCACUUCAUUUUGCAUUUUGUUUCCUGUGAUAUUUCCAUGACAAUGGCAAAGUAAGAUACAACCAUAAUAGCACAGUGAUGUCCUAAAUAUCAGUUGAUUUUAAAAGAACAAGUACCAUAUAAUUAAAGAAGGCAAUAACAUUGGUGAUUGAUCCCCUUUCAACCCUUUUCAUCCUGUUCCUUUAUCACUUGACCUUUGGAAAUGGCCAAAGGAGGGCGUAGACAGAUAGAGGGCAGAAAGAGGAAAGUUCUGCAUCCCUCAGGUUGCCUCUUACGCUAUGCUCUCCAUCUACAUCCAUAGCUCCUGUUAGGCAGCCCCUCUGAUACACUGCAGCUCUCAGGUCCUGGCAACCCCUCGCCAGCUUCCCUUCAAGCCUUGACGCUAUAGUAGCUUUCCAUGUGCAAGUGUUUGUGUAGAUAUAUGUCUGUGCUUCUCCUGGGUACCUAAGAGUAGACAUGCUGGGUCGUAUGGUAAUUCUAAUGUUUAACAUUUUAAGGAACUUUGCUGAGAAUGUUAAUAAUAAAUUUGGUUGCAAGUCUA